Molecule: long non-coding RNA, 1956 nt
Organism: Falco tinnunculus (common kestrel)
Lineage: Eukaryota; Metazoa; Chordata; Aves; Falconiformes; Falconidae
Source: Ensembl
GUGCCUCUUGAUGGUCUUGUGUGCUUCACUGGAGUCCAAGCAGCGUUUUGGCCCUGCGAUGGUCUCACCCGUUGGAAAAGCUGAGGUUACAAAUCUCAUGCAGUGCUUGCACCUUCUCUGGACAGCUGAAACAGCUCUCAGUGCUAUGGCUACGUGUCCAUCCGUAGCAAAAAAAAAGCGCCUUUGGGACAGCAUUGGUUGUAUGCGAGGAGCUCCAGGGCACCCAAUGUCAAAAUAUUCCUGUCCUGCACAGACUGUGUGGUGCCUUACUCACUGAUGGUGCUUUGAAGAGCAGGAGCUGUACUUUGGUGACACAAGAGAGUGCAAAGUGGCUGAAGGUGUCCGUCCGAUGGGAGAUCCAAGCUCCAGGAGAGGAAAAUCAGGCCAGAAAGAGAGAAGAAAAAAGGCCUACAGAAAACCCCGACCUUUGCUACAACCAGCUGUGAUUGGAGGCUUUCCAAGCCUGAGUGAGCUGGGUGAGGUGGAAGGGAGGCGUGUUCCCUCUAAGAGCCCUUUCCCUGGAGAGCCCAGGCAAUGGAUGCCACAGCCAAGGCGCCGUUUGAAGCAGCCUGGGCAGCUGGUUAAAACUGGGAUCUGUGUCCCAGAAGUUGCAUCCACCUUGCUGUAGUAUUUCGAAAAUACCUGGAUCCUGAGGCUGUGAAAGCAGAGCUUGGAAAGCAAUGCUCGGGGAAGGCUGCUAAUGACCUGGAAGAUGACUGAUACUUAUCCUCACUGAAUUGGCAGUAAAUGUGAAAGAGAUAACUGCAUCUUGAUUUUAACAAAUUCUUUAGAUUUCCAUCUCCACGAGCGCAGGGUUAGAUUCCUACUGUGCACACAUCUUUUUUAGCUCUCAGACAUCCAUGCACAGCUCCACUCAGGUGAGAAGGGGCAAGAGAGAUGUGGAGUGGUCCCAGCAGCAGAUGCUGCUGCACAGCAGACUUUAUCUCUUCUGCUCACGCCAUUCAGCAUACUUCUCUCUCUGUUAUGACUGGGAAGUGGCUCAGAUGUAUCUGGGAGCAAAGCAGGCUGCAAGCAGUAUAAGCUACACUGGAAAAAGGCACCUUUAUUUUGGGUUAAAAAAAAAGAGAAAAGAGGAAAGAAAAAUCUGCAGAGGGAUUUAACUCUAGAGGGUUCAUACAGCUAAAAAAUGUCCCUGUUUGAGUCAAAGCUUGAAAACCUGGUAAAGCUGGACACAGUGAAGGGAAUGAUGUGCGAAAUGCAGAGGGGAUGUGUAGGGAAGGAGACAGAUUUGCAGAGGUGGCUAUGCAGCAGGGGGGCAAGGAAACCCAGUAAAGGGCUAAAAGCAUGCAUGGCAAAGCCAGGGCAGUGCUGGCUGGGGAACAAUGCAUGACGUACGUCUUUUGGGGCACAGGAAAGAAAGCCAGGAGGAACUACAGCAUGCAGCACGUUUUUCUGAGCUCAGCUUUUGGUGAGCAUCAAUGGGCUCAGAAACAGUCCCAUGGCCCAAGGCAGUGCACAAGGAAUUACUGAAGAGGGACAGGUGGAGGGUGCGUGGGUCAUGGGCACGGGAAGGAGCAGAAAGAUGCAGCAAUAGGGACCCGUGGCUGCAGACACCUGCUGUGCAGCACCUGCAGAAGCUGAGCUGGAAAUACCCAUCCCAUCCAUGGAGAGAAGAUGGAGCUGAAGUAAUUCUGGUAGGUACUGUCAUGAAAAUACUGUUCAGGUCACCAUAACUAAUGUCCUUCUUUUAGGGGAGGGCUGUCACUGGGAGACGAAGGGUGCCCGAAGCCAAGACCGAGGCACGGUUGUGUAUGUGCAUGCAUGAAGCUUGCACGGAAUCAGCCAAAGGCUCACGUUGAGUCCCGUUCCUUCAGACUCAUUUUGAGGGACAUUUUUUCUCUGUUUAGACCAAAGACCAGGCUAUCCCUUAAAAACUACCCUAUCCCACGCAGCUCCGCAGACGGCUGUCUCCUGCAAUCAGAUCAGGACUGGCAA